GACGAACGCUGGCGGCGUGCUUAACACAUGCAAGUCGAACGGAAAGGCCCUGCUUUUGUGGGGUGCUCGAGUGGCGAACGGGUGAGUAACACGUGAGUAACCUGCCCUUGACUUUGGGAUAACUUCAGGAAACUGGGGCUAAUACCGGAUAGGAGCUCCUGCUGCAUGGUGGGGGUUGGAAAGUUUCGGCGGUUGGGGAUGGACUCGCGGCUUAUCAGCUUGUUGGUGGGGUAGUGGCUUACCAAGGCUUUGACGGGUAGCCGGCCUGAGAGGGUGACCGGCCACAUUGGGACUGCGAUACGGCCCAGACUCCUACGGGAGGCAGCAGUGGGGAAUAUUGCACAAUGGGCGGAAGCCUGAUGCAGCAACGCCGCGUGCGUGAUGACGUCCUUCUGGUUGUAAACCGCUUUCGCCUGUGACGAAGCGUGAGUGACGGUAAUGGGUAAAGAAGCACCGGCUAACUACGUG
This 468-nucleotide ribosomal RNA is filed under the name uncultured bacterium. RNAcentral describes it as "partial 16S ribosomal RNA". It matches the Rfam family "Bacterial small subunit ribosomal RNA", at positions 28 to 507 of the family's 1533-position model. The record is from RNAcentral.